Molecule: ribosomal RNA, 253 nt
Filed under: uncultured bacterium
Lineage: Bacteria
Description: partial 16S ribosomal RNA
Rfam family: Bacterial small subunit ribosomal RNA
Source: RNAcentral
UACGAAGGGGGCGAGCGUUGUUCGGAAUUACUGGGCGUAAAGGGCGCGUAGGCGGCGAUCCGAGUCAGAUGUGAAAGUCCUGGGCUUAACCUGGGGACUGCAUUUGAUACUGGAUUGCUUGAAUUCGGGAGAGGAUAGUGGAAUUCCCAGUGUAGAGGUGAAAUUCGUAGAUAUUGGGAAGAACACCGGUGGCGAAGGCGGCUAUCUGGACCGACAUUGACGCUGAGGCGCGAAAGCGUGGGGAGCAAACAGG